UCGGUGGUCUCCAGUCCCCCUGAUGCCAGCUGAUGUAGCGGCUUUUACUUCUGACAUGAAGGGGGCCACAUGGUGCUGGAGAAAGGUUUGCCCUGGGAGGAUUUGAGUUCCACUUCCGGUUCUGCCUUUCAAUAGCCUGGGGCUGGAGUCAACCUCCAGAGCUUCGGUUGCUUCAUUCAUUCGACAAAUAGGCGAGACCUGCUGGGAGUCAUGUUUGCUAUCAAGUCGAUAGAGCUCAUCUGUGAAUAAAGCCAACACAGAGGAAAGCUGAGCUGGGAGAUGGCGAGAGGAAGGAAGAAGUGGGCAUUGCUCCAAUCCCUGACAGAUGUGCCUGAAAUAUGUUCCAUCCCUCAUCUUUUUAGCUAUGGCACUUGACUUAUUCCUUCUUAUUGGAAAGCCUGGAGCAGCACCGGAGAGCAUUCAAAUGACUUGACUGAAAAUGUGGACCCGGGAAACUCUCCCUGCACGCAGAUAAAUGCACCGCGAGCAAAUUGCCCACCUCCCCCAGACUGUCCAGACUCACCUAGUUCACUUGCAAUGGUUUUUAAGAGCAAGGUUUACUGUGUACCAGGCAAUGUGCUCAAAACUGCACCAGAAGAGUGAGUCCUGCCUUCCAGGAGAUCUCUGUCUUGUAGGAAGGAGACAAGGAAACCAACGCCAUCAACUACAUGAAGGAAGACAGAGGGGUAUCACACACACUCGGAAGAGAAGGAGGCGGUGUGACGGCUGUGACGUGGCCACCGGCCCAGGAACCCCAGUGAUCACCAGAAGCUGCGAGAGGCAGGAAAAGUAUUCCCCCCCUAGAGCCUUGCCAACACCUGGAUUUCAGCCCAGGGAACUGAUGUUGUACUCCCCGCCUCCAGAUCUGUGAGAGAAUAAUUUUUUGUUGUCUGAAGCCACCAAUGUUGCGGCAGUUUGUCACGGCAGCUCUCGGAAACUGAUACAGGGACAAAAAAAGUUUUGGCCUUCACCGUUAGAGCAGUCUGGCACAGCUGAUGGAUUCCUUCUCAGAAAAAUGGGUUUAAAUCAUAAAAACAAAAUAUAUAGGAUCAUGCAGCAAGUUGAUUAUAUUGAAUACGUUUGCUAAAACAUAAGGAAACAAAUGUGUGCAGCUUUAAGCCCCUCAGUUAAGACAAGGCAUUUAAAAUGUAGGCAAGUCAAGGAUGACUUUAUUUUUGAAAGACGUCAGAGUGGACAUUGGUGAGAAGGCUAUUGUCCAUUGAGCUGGGAAGUGGCCUGUCAUUUAAAGACUGAGAUCACCUGUCAUCUACGGAGGCCUGACACUACCAUUGUUUGGAAGCAGAGUCGAGUAAGCGGUAUUUCAGGAUAUCUGCAACAACUCUGUGUAAUUAUGAAAGCAUCUGGGUGUUGGCUGACAAAGUCUCAGGUACCACUAAUACAUUUGUCAACAAAGGAAAUGCUGAAGUUCAGUUUGGGAACCUCAGGCAAA
This is a long non-coding RNA of Choloepus didactylus (southern two-toed sloth), 1450 nucleotides long. RefSeq lists it as uncharacterized. The record is from RefSeq and is a predicted model, not a curated record. NCBI's taxonomy places the organism in Eukaryota, Metazoa, Chordata, Mammalia, Pilosa, Megalonychidae. The transcript has 5 exons.